AAAACAGGUUUCUGCAACACUCCUGCAGAUUGUGGUCUCCACUGCACUCAUUUGUACACAAGUCAGCUGGGAUACAGAGAAAAGCAAAUUUCAAGGCGAGGUGUUCCUGCAGAGCUGUCUGCUACAUAUCCUGCACACAGCUUAAACUGGGGGGAGGUACUAUCUGAACCCCUGUAUACAGUCUGGGCAUUUUGGACACCACCACCACUGGACAGAUCCAGAGGAGGACCUGAAUUUCCACAGAAGACCAGACCUUCCACAGGACCACCACUUUCAACUGCAGCCACCAUUUCAACAGGACUGCAAUCACUAUUUGAUAGGCCUGUGGCUUCCACCCUGACCAGCCUGGCCAGGUUGUGUUCUGACUUUGUGAGUUUAAGCCAGUUUUUCUGUAUCAUUGCAUUUAUUGUAAUCUUUCUAUUAGAUUGUAACUCCUGAAAUGUCUCUCAAGGUAUUUGUGUGGGGUUCUUUCCUCCCACUGGUUUACUUUUGAACUGGCACAGUCUUUUCACUUCGUAGUGACAGUGUAGAAGAAGGAUUUUUUCUUGAUCUUUUACGAAUUUGGCAGGCCAUUAUUACAGCCUAGAAAAUUCUGCGUCAUACCAGCCUGACUCCUGAGUGGAGGUGGAGUCUCAGGAACUGGAAAGGGACAGUAAAGAAGACCUAAGCUUUCUCCAGAGUAGAAGCAUACGUGGUUUUAUUCUGAUGGUUUGGGAAGUGUUAGCUUGCCUCUUGCUGCUGCUGCCUAGCAGGGCUUUGUUAAUGGAAAUGGUUCCUAUUGGUUCCUUCAGUUUUCAUGUUUUAAGUAGGACAGCAGCUUGGCAGCUGGGAUUGUUAGGCAUAAUUUUUGUCUUUUAUCACAGCAGAUGAGCAAUUAUCUGCUGAAUCUAAAUGUGGGGCAGAGCUGACCUAAGCAAGGGUCUUAAACCACCAUGCAGCCAAGCUGGUGACCAGUAGAACACAGAAAAAAUAAAUAUAAAUAGAAAAAUUUGAUGAGGACUCA
RNAcentral lists this long non-coding RNA (1003 nucleotides) under Cyanistes caeruleus (blue tit). RNAcentral's name for it is "lncRNA (ENSCCEG00000014520.1)". The record is from RNAcentral. Lineage: Eukaryota; Metazoa; Chordata; Aves; Passeriformes; Paridae.